This 497-nucleotide ribosomal RNA is filed under the name uncultured bacterium. RNAcentral's name for it is "partial 16S ribosomal RNA". It matches the Rfam family "Bacterial small subunit ribosomal RNA", at positions 28 to 507 of the family's 1533-position model. The record is from RNAcentral.
GAUGAACGCUGGCGGCGUGCCUAAUACAUGCAAGUCGAGCGAACGGACGAGGAGCUUGCUUCUCUGAAGUUAGCGGCGGACGGGUGAGUAACACGUGGAUAACCUACCUAUAAGACUGGGAUAACUUCGGGAAACCGUAGCUAAUACCGGAUAAUAUGUUGAACCGCAUGGUUCAACAGUGAAAGACGGUUUUGCUGUCACUUAUAGAUGGAUCCGCGCUGCAUUAGCUAGUUGGUAAGGUAACGGCUUACCAAGGCAACGAUGCAUAGCCGACCUGAGAGGGUGAUCGGCCACACUGGAACUGAGACACGGUCCAGACUCCUACGGGAGGCAGCAGUAGGGAAUCUUCCGCAAUGGGCGAAAGCCUGACGGAGCAACGCCGCGUGAGUGAUGAAGGUCUUCGGAUCGUAAAACUCUGUUAUUAGGGAAGAACAGAUGUGUAAGUAACUGUGCACGUCUUGACGGUACCUAAUCAGAAAGCCACGGCUAACUACGUG